Nematostella vectensis (starlet sea anemone) is the source of this 73-nucleotide non-coding RNA. The record is from Rfam. Lineage: Eukaryota; Metazoa; Cnidaria; Anthozoa; Actiniaria; Edwardsiidae.
GGGGGUAUAGCUCAGUGGUAGAGCAUUCAACUGCAGAUCGAGAGGUCACCAGUUCAAAACCCGGUUGCCCCCU